GAGGGUAUAGCUCAGUGGUAGAAUACAGUGCUUAGCAUGCAUGAGAUUCUGGGUUCAAUCCCCAGUACCUCCA
RNAcentral lists this transfer RNA (73 nucleotides) under Camelus bactrianus (Bactrian camel). It matches the Rfam family "tRNA". Rfam says of the family: Transfer RNA (tRNA) molecules are approximately 80 nucleotides in length. Their secondary structure includes four short double-helical elements and three loops (D, anti-codon, and T loops). Lineage: Eukaryota; Metazoa; Chordata; Mammalia; Artiodactyla; Camelidae. The record is from Rfam by way of RNAcentral. RNAcentral also lists the same sequence under 1 other name.